This 499-nucleotide ribosomal RNA is filed under the name uncultured organism. RNAcentral describes it as "bacterial SSU rRNA". It matches the Rfam family "Bacterial small subunit ribosomal RNA", at positions 29 to 507 of the family's 1533-position model. The record is from RNAcentral.
AACGAACGUUAGCGGCGCGCCUAACACAUGCAAGUCGAGCGAGAAAGGGCUUCGGCCCCGGUAAAGCGGCGCACGGGUGAGUAACACGUAGGCAAUCUGCCUCGAGGUGGUGGAUAACCCUCCGAAAGGAGGGCUAAUACAGCAUAAGACCACGUCGUCGAAAGACGAUGCGGCCAAAGCCGGCCUCUUCAUGAAAGCUGGCGCCACGAGAUGAGCCUGCGGCCCAUCAGCUAGUUGGUAGGGUAACGGCCUACCAAGGCAAAGACGGGUAGCUGGUCUGAGAGGAUGAUCAGCCACACUGGAACUGAGACACGGUCCAGACUCCUACGGGAGGCAGCAGUGGGGAAUCUUGCGCAAUGGGCGAAAGCCUGACGCAGCGACGCCGCGUGAGCGAUGAAGGCCUUCGGGUUGUAAAGCUCUGUGGAGGGGGACGAAUAAGGGCAAGCUAAUACCUUGUUUGAUGACGGUACCCCUUUAGCAAGCACCGGCUAACUCUGUG